AUUCUGCGAAGCUGGCGGCGCGCUUAAACAUGCAAGUCGAGCGAGACCAGCCCUUCGGGGCUGGGGACAGCGGCGAACGGGUGAGUAACACGUGGGUAAUCUGCCCUCGGCACCGGAAUAGCCCGGGGAAACCCGGAUUAAUGCCGGAUGGCCUCUCGAGCUUUCGGGCUCGCGAGAAAAGGUAGCUUCGGCCUCCGGCCGAGGAUGAGCCCGCGGCCGAUUAGCUUGUUGGUGGGGUAAUGGCUCACCAAGGCGACGAUCGGUAGCUGGUCUGAGAGGACGAUCAGCCACACUGGGACUGAGACACGGCCCAGACUCCUACGGGAGGCAGCAGUGGGGAAUCUUGCGCAAUGGGCGAAAGCCUGACGCAGCGACGCCGUGUGCGGGAAGAAGGCCUUCGGGUUGUAAACCGCUUUCAGGAGGGACGAAGCCACUCAGGUUAAUAGCCGAGAGGGUGACGGUACCUCCAGAAGAAGCCCCCGGCUAACUACGUUGCCAGCAGCCCGCCGGUUAUACUUAUAGGGGGCCUAGCGUUGUCCCGGAUUU
Molecule: ribosomal RNA, 546 nt
Filed under: uncultured bacterium
Lineage: Bacteria
Description: bacterial SSU rRNA
Rfam family: Bacterial small subunit ribosomal RNA
Source: RNAcentral